RNAcentral lists this ribosomal RNA (121 nucleotides) under Pogona vitticeps (central bearded dragon). The record is from RNAcentral. Lineage: Eukaryota; Metazoa; Chordata; Lepidosauria; Squamata; Agamidae.
AUGUACCAGUAUAGCACCCUGAACACACCUGAUCUUGUCUAAUUUCACAAACUAAACAGGGGCAGGCCUGGUUGUUUAUUUGGAGGGGAUACUGCCUGGUAAUUCCAGGGGCUCGGAAAGA